This 253-nucleotide ribosomal RNA is filed under the name uncultured bacterium. RNAcentral's name for it is "partial 16S ribosomal RNA". It matches the Rfam family "Bacterial small subunit ribosomal RNA", at positions 524 to 777 of the family's 1533-position model. The record is from RNAcentral.
UACGGAGGGUGCGAGCGUUGUCCGGAAUCACUGGGCGUAAAGGGCGCGUAGGUGGCGCGGGAAGUCAACGGUGAAAGUUCGGGGCUCAACCCUGAAUCGGCCGUCGAUACUCCCGGGCUCGAGCACUGUAGAGGCAGAUGGAAUUCCGGGUGUAGCGGUGGAAUGCGUAGAGAUCCGGAAGACACCGGUGGCGAAGGCGGUCUGCUGGGCAGUUGCUGACACUGAGGCGCGACAGCGUGGGGAGCAAACAGGG